Non-coding RNA from Manis javanica (Malayan pangolin), 4273 nucleotides. The record is from RefSeq and is a predicted model, not a curated record. Lineage: Eukaryota; Metazoa; Chordata; Mammalia; Pholidota; Manidae.
CGCGCCAGCCCACUGCGGGCGGGGGCGCUCAUCCCGCUGGUGCUCCCCAGGCGAGGCGGCUCAGGGAGGUGCUGCGGUCUCUGCCUGCUGGUGGAAGCGUGAGGGGCACAGAGGGGGAAGCUGCGGAGAGCUUGGGCAGCUCACCUUCCCCCAGCCCCCAACGCCAAGAGCAGAGAGCAAACACUUUGCCAGAAUGGAAACAGAGAGUCAGUCACAGGAAGCGACACCACCGGUGUGCUAAUGAAGCGUGGGGCCCAGGAAGUGCUGCUCGGCUCUUCAUAGAGGAGAAGACACGUCUGCACCCCAGUUCCCUGGAUGCGCCGGGCGCGCUGUGGAGACUAAAUUCAAAGAGUGUGGGGACUUUGUUAGUUCUCUGUUGUAUCUCCAGUGCAUACAACAGUGCCUGGCACAAUAAAUACCUGCUGAAUGAAUGACAGACAGAUAUCCAAGGGGAGGAGAUGAGACCAUAAAAUAUGACCAAGAGAGACCUCUCCCAGCUCCUGGUGAGUGCUGGUUCGUGUGGCGUGAGGAGGGCUUCAAUUUAGAAAAGGUAAGAAACAGAGUUCUUGAGCUUUCUGGGCUGUGGAACAGUCUGUCUUUGUCGCAGGUAUACGUGGCUGAGCCCGGGUGAAGCCUGGCCGCACACAUCCCGGUUAGCAAUCAUGUCCCAUGCACACACAAUAAUGCCACAUUCCGGGGGGAGCUACAGCAAAUGAGAGAAAUGCCAUUUGGACAUUCUCCAGUGGCUGUCAAUAGGAAUUUCAGACACUAGAGCAAGAAUGAGUGUCAGAGUUGAAGAGACCCUUAGGUCCCACGGCUACUUAGCAGCAGGUAGAAUUAUAACACAGGCCUUGUCAUUCCCAUUCAGCUCUCUCCACAAUAGCACAAAUGAGCCAUCUUGCUUUUCCUCUCUAAUUUUAUGCCAUUCCAUUGGGUUUGAGAUCUGGAUCCCCAAACUACUGCUCUUUCCACAACAAAUUCCCCAGCAGAAGCAGCUGGAUAAUAAUCUCAGCAGGAUGGACUACUAAUCACUAAGUUUUACUCUGUAGUAUUUGUGCUUAAUGUUAAUAAUUAGAAUGGGAGACUCUCAAGACGGGGUCCAAAUUAGGCUUGUGCAUUUAAUAGCAGGCCUUGUUGCUUGUCAUCCUAGUUUGGAUCAUUUCAGCACCGAUUAAUUGACUUGUUAAUUAGAAUUUAGCAUUUCGGAGCCAGUGGGGACUUAGAGAUGGCUAGUUUACAGCACUUUUAAAUACUUUUUUUUAAAGCUAUCGCUGACCUGGAAGCCAAAUACCUUAAAAAAGAAAAAGGUGCUUUGUUGAACACCUGUGGGCUCCAUCUAAUGCCUAAGGAACCCUUUCCAGAUCUUCAAAGUGUAGUCUGAAGAUCACUGAUGUAGUUCAACAGUCUCCGUGUAGAGAUGGAAAAUGAAGCCAGGCAAGCAGCAUAGUUGAGAACAUGCACCUCCUGCCCCCUGGGCUGCCACGUGUCAGCACUUUAUGCUGCCUCCCAGUUUUGUUUUAGAUCCUCCACGAGAGGGCGAGCAGAACUUUCAAGCCCCUUCCAUCUCCUACCUGGUCAGCAGCGCUCUCAGCUCAAAGCCUCACUUCCUCUUUCAAGUAAGUUUCCUUGUGCAUUUGUCUUCAAUAAAGCUAAGACAUGAAGAUCUGGAGUGGAAACACACGUCAGAGAAACCAGGCGGUGUCUGAGUCUGAACGCAGGGGCCGGUCUAGCCAAGAGGAGAGACGCUGUCCUCAGCUCUGAGUGUGAUGGUACCAGCCACUCAGACUGUUCAAGUACUUCUCAUCACUCGGAUUUCAUGACUGUAAUCUGGCUUCCCAAAUCUGUGGAUCAUUUAUGUUCUCACUAUAAACGAGAACAUUUACAUUCUGGUUUUGACAUCAGCUUCUCAGAUGGCAAACGGAGGUCAUCCCAAAGAAACUACUCCCUCCUAUGGGUAUGUCUUCUGAGGACAGGGAGAUGUUCUUUGAAACAAGUGCCAGAGAGGUAAAGACGUAUGGUUAGCUCCACAUCGGGAUGUGGGCAAGCCUGGAACACAGAAGCCACUACCUUUCAAAGCUAUAAGUAUUCCAGUCUGUGAAUCUAGCAUUACCUCUGAUGGCUUAGGUUCACUUUGGGGACAACUCAAUGCCAAUGACAUCACAGAGGAAGAUAGGAGCAUGUUUAUGUGAUUCAUUUACAGUAGGUUUCAAAAUUAUUUGCUGGUAAAGGCUAUGCCAUGUUUACCUUCCUUUCUGCUCGCAGUGACACGAAGACCACGUCCUAACAGAUGCAGGCCAGGGGCUGGUAACCAGCGCGUUUGCACCCAGUGAGUUCGUGUUGGAUUUGCCCCCAAGUCAGGGAGUUGCCUGGCUGUGUGUGUCCUGCGGUGGGGGGACCAGCCAGUUAUGGUGGAGAGCUUCAGACAAACCGAGUGACCACAGGGAGAGGAUAUGUGGCUGAGAAAGGGGAGACUCACAGAGCGUCAUUCAAGAUGGAGGGCAAAGAAAUUAUUCUUUCUUCAGAACCGGGGUAGGAAAAACAAUGGAAGAGAAAAGCAUGCUCUUCUCCAUUCAGUAACUCAGACCCAAGACGCUGAGCUGGCUUUAUACUCCAUGAAACCACUACCUUAGGGUACACUGGUCUCUGCCAGAAAGCUACUUUGGAGCUAAUUCUUCUCUGUGCCUUAUGGCACACUGGGGUUGGGGUGCAGGUACCAAAGAGCCUGUUUGGCAUAGCGGAGAGGCACAGAUCUAAGGCCCAACAACACAAGGUGAGGGUUAGAGGGGAAACACGGGGCCCAGCUUUACAAAGUUUUUGUGCAUGUAUGUGUGUGCGUGCAUGUGUGUGCACACAUGCCUGCAUGUUUUGCAUCUUUUUAGCAAGCAUAGCCGGGAGGGAACCUACAGUGGGAUCGUAUUUCUUGGGUGACCCAUUACCAAGAAAGACCCAGUCCCUGUUACUUACCUAUUAAUUUUUUUCUCCCCAGCCCAUUUUAAAGACAGGAAGUGGCAGUGGGCCUGUGCAUGUGGGGAGCAGCCUAGGGUAGAGGAAAGGUGGAAAUCAAGCCCUCACUGCAGAAGCCAUUCUCAGCCAGGGCUGGGUCCUCCUUCAGAGCAGCCAGGAGGGUGCGGGCUGUUCCUCAGCAUUAUACUUUCCUAAGGAACCCUGGGGUGACCACAAAGUCCUUUCCUUCCCUUGAUGUUUUGAAUGUGCUUGUGCAGUUGGACAAGAGGUGCAGGAAGGAGGUCCAAGUUCAGUCCUGAGAUUCGAAAGCUCAGAUUUAGGUGACCUGCCAGGAAGCUAGUUUGGCCUGAAACUGGGGCCUCAACAGUCAUGUUAGAGACUCACUGAAUGGGACAAUUAAAAAAAGCCAAAACAGACAAACAAAUAAAUAACUUCCAGAAGGCAGGAACUAGAGAAGCCCAGAGGGAAAGUCCAGAAGAGUGCUCAGACAAGGGGAAUGAAUUUUACCCAGAGGCACUUCGUUUAAAAAAGAAAAAAAAAGCAAACAAAAAAGGAAGGACCUCCAAGCCUGCCUCUUUCUUAUCUUUCCAAAUUCAUCCUUUUUCAAAACCUCUAGCUUCACAGCUCCAUGACUGCAGAUUCUAAGAAGUGGGUGGCGCAAAGUUUGCACUGCAGGGGUGUAAAACAGGCCACCAGGCUGCCGGUCGCGGGAAGGAACCCCUGGCAGGGAAGUGUGUCCAGGCCCAGUUGCAAGCUGAGUUCUUGGCUUGCAGGUGAGCGUUGGGGGUGCCAGAACCCUUCUCAGUUUCAACAGACAACCAGUGACAUUCCCCCAGAGCGGAGACACAAUGAGGACAGCAGAGGUACAAGAGGCACGGGUCUUUAUUCUCAGUGCACGGCAGUAUUGGUUUCUGCUUAUCAGCAACAAGCUUUAUUGGUUCCCAAAAAAUUAUCCCUUUAUAUCUCUUCUUUAAAAACGCCUCUUCUAGGCUUCCCAUCUCAGUGGAACAACAUACUUGAAUCUCAGAUUUGCCAGUUUAUAGCAUUUCCCCCCUAAGAACCAUAUAAAUACAUGCAAAACAUUGUACAGAGAGCUUAAAUAAUAUCGAAAUGCAAGUACAGUUUGGGUGCACUGAUAAGCUGAACUGCAAAUUAUGGCAGCACACGCCGGGGUACACGUUGCUUGGAUGUCACCAUUUGUUUGUUUAUGUCAUGCAAACCACAACAGUCAAUCUUCUGUUUUUUUCUUUUUUAUACAAAAAUGUCAGUGCUUGUUAUAUUCAUUACUGGAAAAAAGAAAUGCAAAAUG